GCUUAAAGAAAAAUGUUUUGUUUGUAUCUGACCCAAGUUAUCAAAAUAAUAUAAAAAAAAAAAAAUGAUUUUCUUGGAAAAUUAGAUACCUUUAGUGGUUUUUGCACAAUGCAUUUCACUAAGUUUGGGGUUGCUUUUGGAACUAGCAACAACUUAAGUUUGGGGUGGAUAUACUAUACUAGAGAACUAAAAAAAUUAUGAAAGAAAAAUUCCAAAUUAUGAAAGAAAAAUUCAAAAGUUCACCAAGAAAAGAAGUAUCGAAAAGAAAAAAAGAAGAAAAAAAAAA
This 286-nucleotide long non-coding RNA is filed under the name Trifolium pratense (red clover). RNAcentral describes it as "long non-coding RNA (TPRA_LNC008687)". The record is from RNAcentral. Lineage: Eukaryota; Viridiplantae; Streptophyta; Magnoliopsida; Fabales; Fabaceae.